GACGAACGCUGGCGGCAGGCCUAACACAUGCAAGUCGAACGAGUGGCGGACGGGUGAGUAAUGCCUGGGAAACUGCCCGAUGGAGGGGGAUAACUACUGGAAACGGUAGCUAAUACCGCAUACCAUCGGAUGUGCCCAGAUGGGAUUAGCUAGUGGGUGGGGUAACGGCUCACCUAGGCGACGAUCCCUAGCUGGUCUGAGAGGAUGACCAGCCACACUGGAACUGAGACACGGUCCAGACUCCUACGGGAGGCAGCAGUGGGGAAUAUUGCGCAAUGGGCGCAAGCCUGAUGCAGCCAUGCCGCGUGAAUGAAGAAGGCCUUCGGGUUGUAAAGUACUUUCAGCGGGGAGGCGUUACUCACAGAAGAAGCACCGGCUAACUCCGUGCCGGCCGCCGCGGUAAUUC
Molecule: ribosomal RNA, 406 nt
Filed under: uncultured bacterium
Lineage: Bacteria
Description: partial 16S ribosomal RNA
Rfam family: Bacterial small subunit ribosomal RNA
Source: RNAcentral